Molecule: long non-coding RNA, 936 nt
Organism: Mytilus californianus (California mussel)
Lineage: Eukaryota; Metazoa; Mollusca; Bivalvia; Mytilida; Mytilidae
Exons: 3
Source: RefSeq, a predicted model, not a curated record
UUAUAGAUGCCUUAUGUUACGAAGUUUCCGUCUGUCACAUGUCCAUUGUCCUUGACCUCAUUUUCAUGGUUCAGUGACUACUUGAAAAAAAAGUUUUGAUUUUUUGUAAUGUUAAUUUCUCUCUUAUUAUGAGUAAUAGGAUAACUAUAUUUGGUAUGUGCGUACCUAUCAAGGUCCUCAUGCCCGUCAGACAGUUUUCACUUGACCUCGACCUCAUUUCAUGGAUCAGUGAACAAGGUUAAGUUUUCGUGGUCAAGUCCAUAUCUCAGAUACUAUAAGCAAUAGGUCUAGUAUAUUUGGUGUAUGGAAGGACUGUAAGGUGUACAUGUCCAACUGGCAGGUGUCAUCUGAUCUUGACCUCAUUUUCAUGGUUCAGUGGUUAUAGUUGAGUUUUUGUGUUUUGGUCUGUUUUUCUUAUACUGUAUGCAAUAGGUCUACUAUAUUUGGUGUAUGGAAGGAUUGUAAGGUGUACAUGUCUAGCUGGCAGGUGUCAUCUGACCUUGACCUCAUUUUCAUGGUUCAGUGGUUAUAGUGGAGUUUUUGUGUUUUGGUCUGUUUUUCUUAUACUGUAUGCAAUAGGUCUACUAUAUUUGUUGUAUGGAAGGAUUGUAAGGUGUACAUGUCUAGCUGGCAGGUGUCAUCUGACCUUGACCUCAUUUUCAUGGUUCAGUGGUUAUAGUUGAGUUUUUGUGUUUUGGUCUGUUUUUCUUAUACUGUAUGCAAUAGGUCUACUAUAUUUGGUGUAUGGAAGGAUUGUAAGGUGUACAUGUCUAGCUGUCAGGUGUCAUCUGACCUUGACCUCAUUUUCAUGGUUCAGUGGUUAUAGUUGAGUUUUUGUGUUUUGGUCUGUUUUUCUUAUACUGUAUGCAAUAGGUCAACAAUAUUUGGUGUAUGGAAUGAUUGUAAGGUGUACAUGUCUAGCUGGCAGGUGUCAUC